UCCCUGGUGGUCUAGUGGUUAGGAUUCAGUGCUUUCACUGCUGUGGCCCAGGUUCAAUUCCUGGUCGGGGAA
This 72-nucleotide transfer RNA is filed under the name Tursiops truncatus (common bottlenose dolphin). Its description in RNAcentral is "tRNA-Glu (TTC) (tRNA-Glu-TTC-23-1)". It matches the Rfam family "tRNA". From Rfam's summary of the family: Transfer RNA (tRNA) molecules are approximately 80 nucleotides in length. Lineage: Eukaryota; Metazoa; Chordata; Mammalia; Artiodactyla; Delphinidae. The record is from RNAcentral.